GGUGUUCUUCCCGAUAUCUACACAUUCCACCGUUACACCGGGAAUUCCAGUCUCCCCUACCGCACUCAAGCCCGCCCGUACCCGGCGCGGAUCCACCGUUAAGCGAUGGACUUUCACACCGGACGCGACGAACCGCCUACGAGCCCUUUACGCCCAAUAAAUCCGGAUAACGCUUGCACCCUACGUAUUACCGCGGCUGCUGGCACGUAGUUAGCCGGUGCUUAUUCGAACAAUCCACUCAACACGGCCGAAACCGUGCCUUGCCCUUGAACAAAAGCGGUUUACAACCCGAAGGCCUCCAUCCCGCACGCGGCGUCGCUGCAUCAGGCUUGCGCCCAUUGUGCAAUAUUCCCCACUGCUGCCUCCCGUAGGAGUCUGGGCCGUAUCUCAGUCCCAAUGUGGCCGGUCGCCCUCUCAGGCCGGCUACCCGUCAACGCCUUGGUAGGCGUUACCCCACCAACAAGCUGAUAGGACGCGAACCCAUCCCAUGCCGCAAAAGCCUUUCCCACACUCGCAUGCGCUCAUGUGGAACAUCCGGCAUUACCACCGUUUCCAGGAG
This 559-nucleotide ribosomal RNA is filed under the name uncultured Bifidobacterium sp. RNAcentral's name for it is "partial 16S rRNA". The record is from RNAcentral. Lineage: Bacteria; Bacillati; Actinomycetota; Actinomycetes; Bifidobacteriales; Bifidobacteriaceae.